Molecule: ribosomal RNA, 253 nt
Filed under: uncultured bacterium
Lineage: Bacteria
Description: partial 16S ribosomal RNA
Rfam family: Bacterial small subunit ribosomal RNA
Source: RNAcentral
UACAGAGGUCCCAAGCGUUGUUCGGAUUCAUUGGGCGUAAAGGGUGCGUAGGCGGCGCGGUAAGUCGGGUGUGAAAUCUCGGAGCUUAACUCCGAAACUGCAUUCGAUACUGCCGUGCUUGAGGACUGGAGAGGAGACUGGAAUUUACGGUGUAGCGGUGAAAUGCGCAGAUAUCAGGAGGAACACCGGUGGCGAAGGCGGUUCUCUGGGCAUGUCCUGACGCUGAGGAGCGAAAGUGUGGGGAGCGAACAGG